CGCAGCGCCGGCUCUGCAGGACAGGCAGGAGUCGGUGCGGGUCGGUGCUUCCUCCUCGUCCUCCUGCGCUUCACCCUCACCCUGCGCCGGACGCCCAUCCAGGGAGAUGUUGAAAAUCUCCAAAAUUGUGCUGCAUAUGAGGCUGCUAAACAAGAAUGACAAUCAACAAUCUUGAAUCUUCCAAACACGAGGAACUCUGCAGAUGCUGGAAAUUCAGGCAACACACAUCAAAGUUGCUGGUGAACGCAGCAGGCCAGGCAGCAUCUCUAGGAAGAGGUAAAGUCGACGUUUCGGGCCGAGACCCUUCGUCAGAACUAACUGAAGGAAGAGCUAGUAAGAGAUUUGAAAGUGGUAGGGGGAGGGGGAGAUCCAAAAUGAUAGGAGAAGACAGGAAGGGGAGGGAUGGAGCCAAGAGCUGGAAAGUUGAUUGGCAAAAGGGAUAUGAAACUUUCAUCCCUCCACCAACAGCAACUUCUAAGUGUGAUCUUGAAUCUUGAAUGUCCGUCACUGGAAGCUUGAAGAAGCGGCGCCUUAAGGCCCUCACCCCUGGGCACACCCUCUUCUCAUUGCUUUUAUCCUGGGCACGCCCUCUUCUCAUUGCUCAUAUCAGGGAGAAGCUACAGGAGCCUGAAGACUCACACUCAACACUUUAGAAAUGCCAUCAGAUUCUGAACGGUCCAUGAACCCGUCAAGACUACCUCAUGAUUUGUCUUUUGCACCAUUUAUUGAUUUUGUAACUUAUGGUAAUUUUUAAUGUGUCGCACUGUACUGCUGCCACAACACAACAAUUUUCAUGGUAUAUGUCAGUGAUAAUAAACCUGAUUCUGAUUCUGUUAAUUACCUUGGAAAUUUGAGGUUGUGAUGGGAUCACACCAAAAGAUAGGAUGAGGAGCAGGAUACAAUGAAUUUUGGGGUAUCUGACCUGACCAAAAUUUAAAUAGCUACAAGAAUAACUUCCCAGAGAACAUGAGCUGCAAUAUCUUUUGUCUAAAUCCAGCAACACUCCAUUUUUAGCCUCUUAUUCUCUUAACCUCAGAUGUCUGGGUCCAGUUGUACAAGUGGUCAUCACAACUGGGGUCUUCCUUGGUUACAGUGCCUUGUCAGUCCCUCGGUCUCCAGGAGCUGCCUACCUGACCAUUGGAUCUCACUGUGGAUAUCAUCUGACCAAUCCACUAGAGAUGCCUUUGCAUGUCCCUAUCUCAUUGGGCUAUGAGGCCCAUCGCUACCCCAGUGUGGCCACUGUCACUUGCAAACAGCUACAUGGAGCCACAUUUGAGAGCUGAGUGUCUGGUGGGGACCAAGUGUGAGUGAGCUGCCCUACAAUUGGCACAGCAAGCCUCUUUACCAAAGGUCUUCUCUCUGGACAACCUAUUUUAUAGAUACAGAGUAGUACAAGAGGAAUUUUAUGGUAGUAGCUUGUCAUUGGAAACAAAGAAUAAUUAUUCACCAUGGUAUGUCAAAACACAAGUGAAUCACUGAACCCACAGCUGGAUGUUGUGCUCCAAUAAGGCACCAAAAGUGAAAUGGUCGCAAUCUACGUCUGUUCGAUUCUUGGUUGAAGCAUAGUUUAAGGGUGAAUCAUAUUUAAUUCUAUAUUUUAUUUAAAAAAUGGGCAGUAUUAAAAUGUAAUGCAAGGAUAAAAAAAAACAUUACGGGAAUCAUAUAUGGGCCUCCAAAUAGUAGCCAAGAUGUAGGGUUGAGAUUACAAAGGGAGCUGGAAAAGAUAUGUAAUAAGGGUAAUGACACAACUGUAAUGAGGUAC
Molecule: long non-coding RNA, 1762 nt
Organism: Mobula hypostoma (lesser devil ray)
Lineage: Eukaryota; Metazoa; Chordata; Chondrichthyes; Myliobatiformes; Myliobatidae
Exons: 3
Source: RefSeq, a predicted model, not a curated record